GCGCCCUUGGUGUACGGUAAACCCGUCUUCAUGGUACACUACUGCUGACGGGCACUUAACUCAAGACGAGUCCGGGGUUCGACUCCCCGAGGGCGUA
Mycena albidolilacea is the source of this 97-nucleotide non-coding RNA. NCBI's taxonomy places the organism in Eukaryota, Fungi, Basidiomycota, Agaricomycetes, Agaricales, Mycenaceae. The record is from the annotation of a GenBank genome assembly.